AUAAUGAGCCUAUAGCCUAGUGGUCAUGGCAUCUGCCCGGUAAGCGGAAGGUCGUGGGUUCGAUUCCCAUCCUUGUAUA
Molecule: non-coding RNA, 79 nt
Organism: Cordylochernes scorpioides
Lineage: Eukaryota; Metazoa; Arthropoda; Arachnida; Pseudoscorpiones; Chernetidae
Source: the annotation of a GenBank genome assembly